AUUGAACGCUGGCGGCAGGCCUAACACAUGCAAGUCGAGCGGAUGACGGGAGCUUGCUCCUUGAUUCAGCGGCGGACGGGUGAGUAAUGCCUAGGAAUCUGCCUGGUAGUGGGGGACAACGUCUCGAAAGGAACGCUAAUACCGCAUACGUCCUACGGGAGAAAGCAGGGGACCUUCGGGCCUUGCGCUAUCAGAUGAGCCUAGGUCGGAUUAGCUAGUUGGUGGGGCAAUGGCUCACCAAGGCGACGAUCCGGAACUGGUCUGAGAGAAUGAUCAGUCACACUGGAAGUGAGACACGGUCCAGACUCCUACGGGAGGCAGCAGUGGGGAAUAUUGGACAAUGGGCGAAAGCCUGAUCCAGCCAUGCCGCGUGUGUGAAGAAGGUCUUCGGAUUGUAAAGCACUUUAAGUUGGGAGGAAGGGCAGUAAGCUAAUACCUUGCUGUUUUGACGUUACCGACAGAAUAAGCACCGGCUAACUCUGUGCCAGCCGCCGCGGUAA
Molecule: ribosomal RNA, 500 nt
Filed under: uncultured bacterium
Lineage: Bacteria
Description: partial 16S ribosomal RNA
Rfam family: Bacterial small subunit ribosomal RNA
Source: RNAcentral